UGGCUCAGUGGUAAAGUGUUUGACUCAAAUACAAAGGUCGUGGGUUCGAAUCCCAC
Molecule: transfer RNA, 56 nt
Filed under: Schistocephalus solidus
Lineage: Eukaryota; Metazoa; Platyhelminthes; Cestoda; Diphyllobothriidea; Diphyllobothriidae
Rfam family: tRNA
About the family: Transfer RNA (tRNA) molecules are approximately 80 nucleotides in length.
Source: Rfam by way of RNAcentral